UGCCACACCACCUAUGUAUUUUUAAAAAUCCUGUUACUUUUUUUUGGGUAAAAUUUGACCCCAUUUCACCCCAGUUUUUGCUGCUGUGCCUUUUUGUGCAGAUUUAAACUCGAGGGAGCAGGAGACGUGUCAGCCCGUGCACGUCAUCAACGUGGACAUCCAGGACAACCACGAGGAGGCCACGCUGGGGGCUUUCCUCAUCUGCGAGCUCUGCCAGUGUAUCCAGCACACAGAAGACAUGGAGAAUGAAAUAGAUGAGCUGUUACAGGAAUUUGAAGAGAAAAGUGGAAGGACUUUUCUUCACACUGUCUGCUUUUAUUAAAGCACCUCUGUCUCUGAGGCCUUAACCCAGAUGAGGGGAGCAUGUGUUUCCAGUUCUGAUUAUACUGUAUUUUGGAAAAGGAAUAUUGAUCUUUUUUUGUUUGUUUGUUUGUUUAAAAACUCCUUUUCAGUGUCUUUUUUUUUUGGGGUUUUUUUCAGGUAUUCUGUCACAGGUAGGCAGAGAUACUGGUUGGGCUUGUACAUAUAAAAUUAAAAGUAUACACAAAAGCCACCUAUUUAAAAAUUCAAAUCAAGUUUUUUUCUUUAAAUCCUACUUUAAUUAUUACAAGUAGGUUUUUAAUUAUAAAGAGAAUGUUUCUUGAAUAUAAGUUUAUAAUGUAUUUUUCCAGCCUUUGGAUUUAUUUGAUUUAUUAUAUUUCAGUUUUGGUUUUGUUUUUUUUUUUUUUAUUUUAUUUUAUUUCAAUGUGACAGAAUGGCUGAACUCUGUGAGGAUGUGAAUGGAACAAUGGAAAAACUGAAUAUCUGUAUAUUAUUAGCUAUAAAGUUGGAAGCAUCAAAUAAAAAAGAAAAAAACCUUUAA
Molecule: non-coding RNA, 862 nt
Organism: Zonotrichia albicollis (white-throated sparrow)
Lineage: Eukaryota; Metazoa; Chordata; Aves; Passeriformes; Passerellidae
Source: RefSeq, a predicted model, not a curated record